GAUGAACGCUGGCGGCGUGCCUAAUACAUGCAAGUCGAGCGAACGGACGAGAAGCUUGCUUCUCUGAUGUUAGCGUCGGACGGGUGAGUAACACGUGGAUAACCUACCUAUAAGACUGGGAUAACUUCGGGAAACCGUAGCUAAUACCGGAUAAUAUUUUGCACCGCAUGGUUCAAAAGUGAAAGACGGUCUUGCUGUCACUUAUAGAUGGAUCCGCGCUGCAUUAGCUAGUUGGUAAGGUAACGGCUUACCAAGGCAACGAUGCAUAGCCGACCUGAGAGGGUGAUCGGCCACACUGGAACUGAGACACGGUCCAGACUCCUACGGGAGGCAGCAGUAGGGAAUCUUCCGCAAUGGGCGAAAGCCUGACGGAGCAACGCCGCGUGAGUGAUGAAGGUCUUCGGAUCGUAAAACUCUGUUAUUAGGGAAGAACAUAUGUGUAAGUAACUGUGCACAUCUUGACGGUACCUAAUCAGAAAGCCACGGCUAACUACGUG
RNAcentral lists this ribosomal RNA (497 nucleotides) under uncultured bacterium. Its description in RNAcentral is "partial 16S ribosomal RNA". It matches the Rfam family "Bacterial small subunit ribosomal RNA", at positions 28 to 507 of the family's 1533-position model. The record is from RNAcentral.